GAGGGUAUAGCUUAAGUGGUAGAGUGUAUGCUUAGCACGCACAAGGUCCUGGGUUCAAUCCCCAGUAUCUCCU
This is a transfer RNA of Camelus ferus (Wild Bactrian camel), 73 nucleotides long. It matches the Rfam family "tRNA". From Rfam's summary of the family: Transfer RNA (tRNA) molecules are approximately 80 nucleotides in length. Their secondary structure includes four short double-helical elements and three loops (D, anti-codon, and T loops). Further hydrogen bonds mediate the characteristic L-shaped molecular structure. tRNAs have two regions of fundamental functional importance: the anti-codon, which is responsible for specific mRNA codon recognition, and the 3' end, to which the tRNAs corresponding amino acid is attached (by aminoacyl-tRNA synthetases). tRNAs cope with the degeneracy of the genetic code in two manners: having more than one tRNA (with a specific anti-codon) for a particular amino acid; and 'wobble' base-pairing, i.e. permitting non-standard base-pairing at the 3rd anti-codon position. Lineage: Eukaryota; Metazoa; Chordata; Mammalia; Artiodactyla; Camelidae. The record is from Rfam.